This 242-nucleotide unclassified non-coding RNA is filed under the name Hevea brasiliensis (rubber tree). The record is from RNAcentral. Lineage: Eukaryota; Viridiplantae; Streptophyta; Magnoliopsida; Malpighiales; Euphorbiaceae.
GGAUUUGAUUGUCUUAGUAGGGACCGCCAGAAUUCUAGGAUCCCUGCAGUUGCUUAAAAAACCUCCAUCAAUGGAAAACUGUAAAUAGAGAAUGGAGCAAAAAGAGUGCAACAGACUUUUCAACCACAGGCAAGACUUCUUUUUAACAACAAGAGGAAAACAAAAUUCAAAUAGAGAAUGCAAGUGAAUUUGAGAUCUCCCAUCUGUAGUAGUGUGUAAAUAUAAGAAAAUGUUUUUGCUGG